CGUAAAUGAACAAACAACAGCAUGAAUUUAUAAAGCACAAAUAUACAUCCAGAGUUAAGGUGGGAUUUUAUCCCACUACCCAAAACGCUACGGAGUGCUUAACGGAACGACGAGACCUCUGGGACAAGGAAGGCCCUACACUUUUUUUACUAACUGUUACCUAUUGUUGCCGGUUUGUGUACUCAUUACAAAGAGGACUUAUGACCUCUUCUAAAGUUUGAGAGCAGAUAUCAAAAAUUAGUGAAAGGCGUCCCGAAGUUACAUACGGGAUUCGAGCUCGCUACCUCCACGCUGUUAACAGUUCGGUGGAUUUGCGAGAAUGCUAGGCCAAUGAGGUGCCUGUUUCUAUGUUUUAGGAAAUGAAAGGUGCCUUGAAAGGAACUGUUAACCGGAAGCGUUUUCAAUGUAUUUCAUCACUCAUGCUAUCAACUAUACUUUUACUUUAGCCGGCAAUUGUGCCUAAUAGAUAAGGCAUUUGUUUCUCGCUUUAAUGUCAUUCAAACUUUUAAUUAAAUCCUGUUGCUUGUAGUGUUUUCUUCAAAUAUUAUAGCUAGCUGCUUUUUAAAAGUUUCAAGAAUUUGUUCCAAGUGAAUUAUAGAAUAAGAAAAUGCUCUUCUAUUCCAUUGUCAUCGGUUCUUUAUUUCAAGUGAUGAGCAUACAAGGCUUCAGUGGCAAUGAAAUGUUUGGUAAGC
Molecule: long non-coding RNA, 692 nt
Organism: Parasteatoda tepidariorum (common house spider)
Lineage: Eukaryota; Metazoa; Arthropoda; Arachnida; Araneae; Theridiidae
Source: RefSeq, a predicted model, not a curated record